This 503-nucleotide ribosomal RNA is filed under the name uncultured bacterium. Its description in RNAcentral is "partial 16S ribosomal RNA". It matches the Rfam family "Bacterial small subunit ribosomal RNA", at positions 30 to 523 of the family's 1533-position model. The record is from RNAcentral.
AUUGAACGCUGGCGGCAGGCUUAACACAUGCAAGUCGAGCGGGGUGAUGGUGCUUGCACUAUCACUUAGCGGCGGACGGGUGAGUAAUGCUUAGGAAUCUGCCUAUUAGUGGGGGACAACAUCUCGAAAGGGAUGCUAAUACCGCAUACGUCCUACGGGCGAAAGCAGGGGAACACUUUUGACCUUGCGAUAAUAGAUGAGACUAAGUCGGAUUAGCUAGUUGGAGGGGUAAAGGCCUACCAAGGCGACGAUCUGUAGCGGGUCUGAGAGGAUGAUCCGCCACACUGGGACUGAGACACGGCCCAGACUCCUACGGGAGGCGGCAGUGGGGAAUAUUGGACAAUGGGGGGAACCCUGAUCCAGCCAUGCCGCGUGUGUGAAGAAGGCCUUAUGGUUGUAAAGCACUUUAAGCGAGGAGGAGGCUCUUUUGGUUAAUACCCAAGAUGAGUGGACGUUACUCGCAGAAUAAGCACCGGCUAACUCUGUGCCAGCCGCCGCAGUAA